UCCCAAGUGGUCCAGUGACUUCGACUCUGCACUCCCAAUGCAGGGGACCAGGGUUCAAUUCUUGGUUAGGGAA
RNAcentral lists this transfer RNA (73 nucleotides) under Bos taurus (domestic cattle). It matches the Rfam family "tRNA". Rfam says of the family: Transfer RNA (tRNA) molecules are approximately 80 nucleotides in length. Their secondary structure includes four short double-helical elements and three loops (D, anti-codon, and T loops). Lineage: Eukaryota; Metazoa; Chordata; Mammalia; Artiodactyla; Bovidae. RNAcentral also lists the same sequence under 1 other name. The record is from Rfam by way of RNAcentral.